This 253-nucleotide ribosomal RNA is filed under the name uncultured bacterium. Its description in RNAcentral is "partial 16S ribosomal RNA". It matches the Rfam family "Bacterial small subunit ribosomal RNA", at positions 524 to 776 of the family's 1533-position model. The record is from RNAcentral.
UACGAAGGGGGCUAGCGUUGCUCGGAAUCACUGGGCGUAAAGCGCACGUAGGCGGCUUUUUAAGUCAGGGGUGAAAUCCUGGAGCUCAACUCCAGAACUGCCUUUGAUACUGGGAAGCUUGAGUCCGGGAGAGGUGAGUGGAACUCCGAGUGUAGAGGUGAAAUUCGUAGAUAUUCGGAAGAACGCCGGUGGCGAAGGCGGCUCACUGGCCCGGUACUGACGCUGAGGUUCGAAAGCGUGGGGAGCAAACAGG